RNAcentral lists this ribosomal RNA (474 nucleotides) under Leioheterodon madagascariensis. RNAcentral describes it as "partial 12S ribosomal RNA". Lineage: Eukaryota; Metazoa; Chordata; Lepidosauria; Squamata. The record is from RNAcentral.
AUACCCUACUAUGCCCCACUGUAACAAAACAAUAAAAUUAAUCAUUGUUCGCCAAAUAACUACGAGUAAAAACUUAAAAUUUAAAAGACUUGACGGUGCUUCACACCGACCUAGAGGAGCCUGUCCAAUAACCGAUAAUCCACGAUUAACCCAACCUUUUCUGGCCUAACAGUCUAUAUACCGCCGUCGCCAGCCUACCUUGUGAAAGAGACAAAGUAGACUAAACAGCAUUAUACUAACACGACAGGUCGAGGUGUAACUAAUGAAAAGGACCAAGAUGGGCUACAUUUCUUAAACCAAGAAAUAACGAACAGACUAUGAAACUAGAAACUGAAGGCGGAUUUAGCAGUAAGCUAAGAAUAAAAUACUUAACCGAAAUAUCAACGCAAUGAAGCGCGUACACACCGCCCGUCAUCCCUGCCAGACUAAAACAAAUAUAAAUAAUACAUCACCACCCUACCAAGCAGGGCAAGU